UGUCUUUGAGGCGGGGAGUAUUUCCCCACCGGCGGUAUAGCCCGCGAGCUCUUCGGAGCAUGAUCCGGUCAGAUUCCGGAGCCGACCGUAUAGUCGGGAUGAGAAAAGAC
Molecule: non-coding RNA, 110 nt
Filed under: uncultured Selenomonas sp.
Lineage: Bacteria; Bacillati; Bacillota; Negativicutes; Selenomonadales; Selenomonadaceae
Description: FMN riboswitch (RFN element)
Rfam family: FMN riboswitch aptamer (RFN element)
About the family: The RFN element is a highly conserved domain that is found frequently in the 5'-untranslated regions of prokaryotic mRNAs that encode for flavin mononucleotide (FMN) biosynthesis and transport proteins. This element is a metabolite-dependent riboswitch that directly binds FMN in the absence of proteins. In Bacillus subtilis, the riboswitch most likely controls gene expression by causing premature transcription termination within the 5' untranslated region of the ribDEAHT operon and precluding access to the ribosome-binding site of ypaA mRNA.
Source: RNAcentral